ACAAAGGUUCUAAUAAGAACCCUUAAACUGUUUAAUAAGCUUUACAU
Non-coding RNA from Astyanax mexicanus (Mexican tetra), 47 nucleotides. The record is from Rfam. Lineage: Eukaryota; Metazoa; Chordata; Actinopteri; Characiformes; Acestrorhamphidae.